Molecule: ribosomal RNA, 522 nt
Filed under: uncultured bacterium
Lineage: Bacteria
Description: bacterial SSU rRNA
Rfam family: Bacterial small subunit ribosomal RNA
Source: RNAcentral
AAUAGAUACCCCGGUAGUCCACACUGUAAACGUUGAUGACUCGCUGUGUGCGAUAUACUGUACGCGGCUAAGGGAAACCGAUAAGUCAUCCACCUGGGGAGUACGCCGGCAACGGUGAAACUCAAAGGAAUUGACGGGGGUCCGCACAAGCGGCGGAGCAUGCGGCUUAAUUCGAUGCAACGCGAAGAACCUUACCUAGGCUUGACAUAUACGGGAAGCAGGCAGAGAUGUCUGUGCCUUCGGGCUCGUAUACAGGUGGUGCAUGGCUGUCGUCAGCUCGUGUCGUGAGAUGUUGGGUUAAGUCCCGCAACGAGCGCAACCCUCGUCCUAUGUUGCCAGCGGGUAAUGCCGGGGACUCAUAGGAGAUUGCCGGGGUCAACUCGGAGGAAGGUGGGGACGACGUCAAGUCAUCAUGCCCCUUACGUCUAGGGCUGCACGCAUGCUACAAUGGCCGGUACAAAGGGCUGCAAUACCGCAAGGUUGAGCGAAUCCCAAAAAGCCGGUCUCAGUUCGGAUUGGGGU